Molecule: transfer RNA, 63 nt
Filed under: Ictidomys tridecemlineatus (thirteen-lined ground squirrel)
Lineage: Eukaryota; Metazoa; Chordata; Mammalia; Rodentia; Sciuridae
Description: Spermophilus tridecemlineatus (thirteen-lined ground squirrel) tRNA
Rfam family: tRNA
About the family: Transfer RNA (tRNA) molecules are approximately 80 nucleotides in length. Their secondary structure includes four short double-helical elements and three loops (D, anti-codon, and T loops).
Source: Rfam by way of RNAcentral
GGGGAUGUAGCUCAGUGGUAGAGUACUUGCCUUGCAAUUGUGAGGUGCUGGAUUCCAUCCCUA